Molecule: ribosomal RNA, 784 nt
Filed under: Bacterium PE_IPFFD20
Lineage: Bacteria
Description: bacterial SSU rRNA
Rfam family: Bacterial small subunit ribosomal RNA
Source: RNAcentral
UGCACUUCGUGGAUAAGCUUGGGAAACUGGGUCUAAUACCGGAUAUGACUGCGAAUCGCAUGGUUUGUGGUGGAAAGCUUUUGCGGUGUGGGAUGGGCCCGCGGCCUAUCAGCUUGUUGGUGGGGUGAUGGCCUACCAAGGCGACGACGGGUAGCCGGCCUGAGAGGGUGACCGGCCACACUGGGACUGAGAUACGGCCCAGACUCCUACGGGAGGCAGCAGUGGGGAAUAUUGCACAAUGGGCGCAAGCCUGAUGCAGCGACGCCGCGUGAGGGAUGACGGCCUUCGGGUUGUAAACCUCUUUCAGCACAGACGAAGCGCAAGUGACGGUAUGUGCAGAAGAAGGACCGGCCAACUACGUGCCAGCAGCCGCGGUAAUACGUAGGGUCCGAGCGUUGUCCGGAAUUACUGGGCGUAAAGAGCUCGUAGGUGGUUUGUCGCGUUGUUCGUGAAAACUCACAACUCAAUUGUGGGCGUGCGGGCGAUACGGGCAGACUGGAGUACUGCAGGGGAGACUGGAAUUCCUGGUGUAGCGGUGGAAUGCGCAGAUAUCAGGAGGAACACCGGUGGCGAAGGCGGGUCUCUGGGCAGUAACUGACGCUGAGGAGCGAAAGCGUGGGGAGCGAACAGGAUUAGAUACCCUGGUAGUCCACGCCGUAAACGGUGGGGUACUAGGUGUGGGGUUUCCUUCCUUGGGGAUCCGUGCCGUAGCUAACGCAUUAAGUACCCCGCCUGGGGGAGUACGGCCGCAAGGCUAAAACUCAAAGAAAUUGACGGGGGCCCG